UUGAAUAAACUUGCACAGGCUGUUGCUGGCCUUCUCUUGGGGGGGCAUGUGCACGCUUGUCAUCUUUAUUUCUCCAACUGUGCACAUAUUGUAGACCUGGAGUUCUUGUUGACUUGUUUCGAGUUGGGACUGCUGUGAAGUCAGCUUUGCCUUAUGUUUCCAGGUCUAUGUCAUUUUCACAACCUCUUGAUGUUGAAUGUACCUAUAAAGUUGAAUAAUA
This 220-nucleotide unclassified non-coding RNA is filed under the name uncultured Inocybe. RNAcentral's name for it is "sequence contains ITS1". The record is from RNAcentral. Lineage: Eukaryota; Fungi; Basidiomycota; Agaricomycetes; Agaricales; Cortinariaceae.